CGACCUGGCGAUACAAUUAAGAGAAGAAAUAUAUAUGCUAAUAUUUUUUUGAAAUAUUUAAAAACUACAGCACUCAUUUGUUUAAUAGGAUUGCCACUUAAAAUUUCUUCAAACUAUCUGCAGGAGCACUAACGAAACUACUACCAACUGAGGACAACGCAGCUACCACAGGGCAUCCUGGGACUUGUAGUAUCACAGUAUAAUGCAUUAUUAUUAUUAUUAUUAUUACUGAAAAAAAAGGUCUUUGUUAUUCGCUUUUAGUUAAUUUGGCCAAUAUUAUCUCUGCUCAGCUAAUAUCCCAUUUGCUUAUCUUAGCUGAUCUUUUGCAUGGGUUGCUUCAAUGUUUAUCUCCAGUUUUCAUCACCCUCUUUAAUGAGAAGUGUCACACACACCUCCAUUUUCACAGUGAAUGGUAUCCACUGGGUCACUGAGGCCAGAAGUCGAGCACUGAGGAAGCACCAUGAUGACCUUUAAACGCUCAAUGGUGGCGUCCCGCUCGCCCAGACUGAAGAAGGCCCCAGACAGGACACGCACAUCUAUAGGGAGCUCGUGCAUGUCCUCCAGCUGUGAGGAAGUGUGAUCAGCCCCACACACCAGAACGCUGCCUGAGCAGGCAGCCGCCAUGAUGGCCACGUGGGCCACAGUCAGGGCUGAGAAAGAGCCCGCCACCAGGACAUCGGCUUUCUCGAAUAAGAGGGGGCAUAAGGCACUCACCGACACGCAUAAGCUCCUGUCCUGUCACAUAACAAUGAUGCAUCUAGAAGACAAAGUGUCACGUCUGGGUACGGAGCAAUGAGGGUGGAUCCCAAAAUGCAGAGACAAGACCAGCUCGAAGUACUGUAAGUAAAGUCUUGAAUCAUGCAAAAAAAAUGGAACAGGGAAUACGUGGAACAAAAAGUACAGUCCAGUACAAAUAUGGUAAGUCAAUGAAGCACCACGACAACAUGUAAAACUAGAAAGAGAAGAGAAACUGAAAAAUACACUGAAAAAUACUUGUCAGUUGGGCUACUGGACAAGCAAGAAAGUGGGAAAAAGGAGAACAAAAAUAGUACAUGAAGCUAACAAGAUAGCUAACUAGGAGCCUUUGAAGGAGCACAACAUCUGCAAGAGACAAAAAACGAAAGAGGAGUGGGAAGCUUGAAAAAACAAAAGACUGAGAAACUAUACAUUAUAAAACAACAACAACUAUGACAAAAACCAAAUAGGUGUCACAGCACAGCGUGACAGUUUCACCUCCCCGCCCGAAAUCAACUCAACGGACGCCACCUGGCGAACUACCAGGCUUGUCGGGGAACUUGCAGUAGAAAUCAGAAAGAAGGGAGGCGUCGAGGAUGAGCGACCGAGAGACCCAAGAGCGGUCCUUGGGACCAUAACCCUCCCAGUCGGUAAGAUACUGCACACCUCUGCCCCGCCUCCUGGCGUCCAAGAUGGUCUUAGCUGUAAAGGCAGAGUUUCCGUCAACCAAGCAAGGAGGGUGAGGAAGCACUGACGGAGGACUGAGGUCACAGGAUGCGACCGGCUUAAAGCGGGACACAUGAAACACUGGGUAGGUAUUGAGAGAUUAGGAAGCUUGAGUCUGGCAGACAAGGUUACCCAUCCGCUCCACCUCGAAUGGUCCAGGGUACCUGGGAGCCAGCUGACAGAAGCCCCCAAGGAGAAAUCCUUCCUGGUAGGUGAGAAGAACUGGGGACCUCUGUCCGACACAACAUUGACACGUAUGCCAUGGAGCCGAGCCAUGUGCUUGACCAGGAGCUUGGCAGUCUCUAGGGAAGAAGAAAGUUCGCAGAGGCCACCUGUGAGAUGAGAAAGGCCGUGCAUCUGGCUCUGGGAUGGCAGGCUAUCCUGGAACCCUGGGCUCAGGUCAAGACUUUAGGAUGCAGGACACGAGGGACGAAUAGUUGACUCUGAGGACAAUCCGCAGGGGAUGGUGUGUCCUUAAUAGCCUCAGUCAUAUACUUCUCCACCUCCCACUGGAGGCCACCGAGGAUGCGGGACUUGGGGUGGAUGUUCUCCCGGGAAGAGAGCGGGUGUAGGAAAGGUUUCUGUGGUCCAUAUUCAAUUUCAUGGUCCGAAUGACGAAAGGAUGAGCCGAUACCUCCAACCAGUGCCUCCACUCCUGCAGUGCGAGGACCACCGCCAACAGCUCACGAUUGUCAUCAUCAUCAUUGUGAUGCCUGGAGAAAAAGGUGCAAGAGUGCUGCCUCUGCUCGAAACUGGAGCGCUGGGAGAGUACACAUCACCGACCCCAGUGUCGGACGAAUCAACCUCGACAUAAAAGGAAAAAAGCAAUUAGGGUAGAUCAGAACAGGUGCAGAGGUGAAAAAAACUUGAGACACCGAAAGGCCAGAUCGGCCCCAGUCGACCAAGCGAAAGGAACCUUAAGCUUUUUCAGCAGCUUGACUACUGUCCUAAAACCUUGAAUAAAGUGGAAGUUGGCAAAACCAAGGGACCUCUGUAAAAGCUUCCUAUAUGUAGGAGUGGGUCAAUCAACCGCGGCCUGUAUCUUAGCAGGGUCAGGUUUCCACAGUAAACCCUAGGAAAGACACAGAAGAUGAGUGAAAGGUACAUUUUUUUGGCUUGACAAACAACCUGUUUUCCAAAAGUCUCUGGAGGACGAGAAGGACGUGUUGUUUGGAAGAGGAAUAAAAAAUAAGAAUGUCGUCCAAGUAAGCAAAAACAAAAUGACCAAUCAUGUCACAGAGGACAUCAUUGAUCAAAAACUGGAAGACUGCAGGGGCGUUUGUAAGUCAAAGGGCACGAUGUAAUAUACUGUAUGCCCCAAGGGGGUGUUAAAGACAGUCUUCCAUUUGUCCCCUUUACAGAUACAAAUAAGGUAAGGUAAGCAUUGCGAGCUCUGCCUGACUCAAGGAGGGCCAACGUCUACAAGAGACCAAAGCAGUGGGAAGCUCAAAACAACAAAAGAAUGAGAAACAAGAAAAAACAUCAUGACAAA
Long non-coding RNA from Dunckerocampus dactyliophorus (ringed pipefish), 2953 nucleotides. RefSeq lists it as uncharacterized. Lineage: Eukaryota; Metazoa; Chordata; Actinopteri; Syngnathiformes; Syngnathidae. The record is from RefSeq and is a predicted model, not a curated record. The transcript has 3 exons.